UCACCCACAUACCUCCCAGAAUGCCAGUGUGAUAGGAGAGCAGGGCAAGGAUACAGUUCAUGUCUGGACUGUGUGCACAUCCUGAGCAGGUGUUUGUGAUGUCCAGUGUGGGCUGUACCCCCACCAAUAUGUGCAGCUGCUGGCACGUACCACCAAAGUGUGGCACAUCAGCUUUUAUAGACAAUUUGUUAGUUGGAGUUGAAAAUGCAAAGCUACUUCUGAUCUUAGGGUAGCAAACUUGCCCUGUAAGCAACUUUCUAGAUUUCACGUAUGACUGCAUUAGUAGAGUCUAUAAUCUGUUGGCAGUUACGGCUGCUAGAGCUUUGCAAUUUCGUUAAUUUUAUGUGCUAAUAAAUGGCUCAUGGGCAGCUCGCUCUUACCAACCAAGGGCACUAGUACUGACUAAAGAAUCAGGAGACUUAAUGAAAGAGAAUGAAAUGUGGAGAUCUUUUUGUUCAGCUUCAUCUUUUGCUCUUCUAGCUUAGUGCACUUGAGUGAGGUUUUCAAGUUUUUCAUUAUGUUCGUGCUUUUUAGUAAAAACAUACUGAUUCUCAUCAGGCUGGGGGGACAUCGUUUGCCUUGAGAACUGUAGUCAGGUUGUAAGUUGUCGAUACUGCUGCGUGUCAUCCUGCUAGCAGGGCUGAGCUGAUGGCUGUGAAUUGGGCAGCACGCAUCUCGGUGCAGUGCUGCGGAUACCCCGGGGCUCCAGCCUCCAGCUGGUCAGCAUCACACAAUUGCUACUAGUGGGUGGUGAGAAACACCUGUGAGGGGAGCACUCUCAUCCCAGGUGUGCCGGGUGCUGGCAGGCAGGGGCUGGUUGUGUGUGCCAGGCACCAAACAGUAACAGAGGGCAACAAGCCCAGGCUACCUUAACUGCAAACGAGUGACUCAGCUGUUUCUGCAAAGUUUGGAGUUUCAGCAGAAUAUUUCUUUUUCCGCUAUGCUGACAGCUUUUCCACCCACGUAUUGCAAACGUGGCUUUGUGCCAUGGAGGUAUUUUAGGAUUAUAAAGCAUAGUGUAAAUUUUUAGAGUUACAUAUGAAAAAAGGUGCCUUCUGGAUCUCAAAAUAUGUAGGUUGUAUGUAGACUGGGGGAGUAGGGGAGCUCUUUCUAAACCCUAAGGCUUGGAGGAGAUAGAUCCCCAUCUGUCAAUCAUCCGUUUUUAUUUAUUCCACUGAAAACCAGGCAGUGUGUUCAGACGUCCUGUAUCUACAGAAAUAGAAUGCUCUGAAAUCCCCCAGAGUUUUGGCAGAGCUUUUAUUGUGGGCAGUUACUCAUUCACACACCUGGUACGUACUGUUGGUCCUGUUAUUGUAAGGCAUUCCCAAACAGUCCUGCAGGGAAAAUAAACUGCAGAGAGAUAUACAGGAAAUUAACCAUAAUAAAACGCAAAAGGUUUCUUAAUCUGUCAAGUGUAUUGCAGUAUUCAGUGAGUUACUGUACUCAUCUGAAGAUGAAAUUGGAUGGAGUAUGUCUGUGAUGUUACUGCAGCUCAUUGAGACACAUGCAGAUACAGCCAGUGUACUCUAAGCCGGUCCUUUGCCUGUCCUUGCUGUGAGGCUGUGCUCCUUGCUGUCAGUCUGGGACCUCUGCGUGGAUCAGGCAUGGCAGGACUGACUUUGGGGGAGGACAGCCAGGAGCUGGGGUCGUGCUCGGUCAUUUCUGUGCUCAGGCAGCCAGCUGUGGAAUCCAAAGGUUUGCUCUGUUGUCACAAAUUUUUUAUGCCACAAAUGCUGAUGAGGCAGCAAAAGCCGCUAUCAAGGGCCUCACCACAUCAUGGGAAUGGAGAAGAGAAAGAGCAGAAAUCCAGCGAAGUGCUGUUAGUGACCAGUAACCGCCAGGGCAUGGCAGAUGGCUCUUGUGAAGCUGGCAAGGCCACGGCUUCUCUAGACUCUCUGUCAGCUGGAGGGGCAGUAAUUCAUCGGUGAUGUCUGCAGCAGUCCUCAGCUCGCUUUACUUGUUGGAUUUUGGGGUUUGGGUCUCUGUUUUGUUUUGGUCUAUUAUGAAGUUACUUCCAAAGAAAAGAUAUAAUAGAAUAUGACAGCAUGUAUAUUAAGCAUAAAAGCAUUAUGUUCCUCUGGGAGCUGUUGGAGGAGAAGCAGCCGAGCCACUGAAAUGCAACCCCACCACUGCCAUGAGUGCCUGUCGGCAGGUCACAUCUCUGCGGUCAUGCUGGGUGGGUCUUGGGGAACCAAAGGGACAAGUGACUUUUGUCCCUGGCCAGCAGGAAGCCACCAGGCACAGAGACAAGCUCUCCCUGUUUCACCCUCAGGCUGCCAGCGGGCCAGGAAACAAGUCCUCCCAGCACCUCGCGCUGCGUGCUGUCACGCUGUCCACGUCACAACAGGGCAGCCUGGCUCCACCACUGCUCCUUCAGGGUCACAAGGAAGGGAAACAGUCCUGCUCCAUUGCUGGAGCACUGGCUUGGCAGCCUUUAUCCAUAGGCUGAGAAUGGGGAUUCGUGAGCCUGAAAUUCAAAGUGAGACUAGUGGAUGUGAGUGCCAUGGGAACCAGAGCAAGCUGGAGGUUUACACGGAUCCCCGCAGGGUUAGGGCUGCUGAGUUUCAUAUGGUGCUAGAAAAAAACAGUGUCUCUGGAAUAAAAAUCUGUCUGUGUCUCGAGGCAGCUGUGGGCACCUCCAGCCAGCACCUGAUUCACUCGCGAACAGUUACCUGCGAGGCAUCUCAGCUGGCAGACACUUGUCCGAGGCGCCGGAGGCUGCAUGGGCUGUUUUCAGUUUAAUCUAUUUUUAAUGUGGCGCCUUAUUCCAAACUGCUGAGUUCUCACAUUUCCAAGCCGUCGUGGUAAUAGGAUUGUGCAGCCUUAUUGGCUACAGUUUUCCACCCCCAGUGCCAAAAGUUAGGCUCCUAAAUCCAUAUUUAAAUGCCUAAAUGAGGCUGACGAAUCCUGCAGGAGUCAGUAGGAACUGGACGUGGUCUGCACCUUGGAAAAUAACCAGGCUAUUGGGUGUGUGAGCAACGCCUUGCUGUAGGCACCCAGAUGUUGUGUUUUUAUCCAGAAUGGCUGUGUGUGUCAUUGUGAAGGGGGGAGGUGAGAUUAGUGCAAACAGGAGCUUUGUUGGGAAUUUGGAAAUGGGAUACACUGAGAAUCAUAGCAGGUGCCCAUCUCUUGUGUUGGCUUCAUGUCUGCACUACUUCCGUACCCACGAUCUAGCACUGCAUAUUUUUACUCUGCUACCUUCUUCUGCUAUUUCUAUUUGUAGCACCCUGCUAGACUUGUUUCCAAGCCAAUCCAAAAUUCUUCUGAAACUCCCUUUGCUAACAGCAGCAUGAAAGCAGAACUCCACAGUGGCUGCAGCAAUGGCAGGGGUUUGCUUUUAGCUGAGUGGUAUUGGUCACUUCAGCCUUUUGAGUUGAACUGAGAAUGGCAAUGCUAUCUGCCAAGAGAAGCAGCUUGUAAAAGUUGUAUGAUGUUGCUUUUUUCAUGGCAGACCUGAAAAAUUCUGUACAUGAAACUUCCAGCCAACGCUUGAAAUACAUUUCUCUGAUUGCUUUGUGUGAAAGGCUUGUUUUCGUGUUAGUACUGCAGGGUAACACAUAAGACCAUGGAAGUACAAUGCGCCUUCAUCCAGAUGAGGCAGAAUUUAUUUAGCUUGAAAGAGUGUUUUAUUGCAGUAUGGAAGUGUCACUUCAGGUUUUUAUCCUGUUUUCUAUAGAGGAGGAAUAAACUGUUUCCAGAGUCUCACCAGAAGAUAAAAUUCCCGUGGCUAGUCAAUGGCAAUGUGCUGGAGACUUGGAAAGCUUCAGCAAACCACAUCCUUUCACCCAGAGAGCAUGGAUAGAGCGGAGGAACCUCGUUCUGGUGGCUUUGGGUACCCCAUUACCCUGACCCAUCAUAGUGCUAGCUGACUGCUGGCCCAGGAGCACCAGGGAUGUGAGCACUGGGCGCAGUGCUGUGCAGCCUUAAGAGCCACACCCUGAAGCCAAGAGCAGAGCUGAUGUGCUGAGGCUUCCCAAACAGUGUUUGAUGUCUAGAGGACACCCUGAAAAUGCAGCUGUUUCUGCAGUCUCCUUCCAUUCUCAGUUCCCUUGCCAUCUCAUCUGAAAACAGAAACUUCAUGCAUGCUUCAUGCUUGUGUCCUCUGAGGGCUUCAAGGGUCUCCCCGGGACAGAGCCAGCAAUCCUGCUGAAAUAAGAGAGUGCUACUCCCUCCUUCUGGCUGGUAUCAGUCUUCUAAGUCACUAUCAUUUAUUUUAGAGCAUUCACUGGGGAAGUGAGUGACCUGAGUUCAGUGCGUUCCUCAAUCUGCUCAUCUCUCACUUCCCAUGAGACGGUCUAAAAGCCAGCCCCCAGUUAUUCUGGGUGAAAUCCUUUGGCAUGAAACCAUGCCUCCCAGUAAUGGGGUGUUUCUGCUUCCUGUCCCACUGUUGGUCAGCAGGUUGUUUCAGAGUGAAGUGAUCAGGGUUUCGUGUUGUGAGGAACCCAGGGUACAGUUGUCUCACUGGAAGCUGGAUUGCUAGACCCCACUCCUCUGGGCAUUCAGAGAAGACAUCCCUCUGUCUCUGUGUGCCUGUGAAUGAGAAUGGAAGAAUGCAGCUCCUUGGAGAUGCUGUGCUGGGCUGGUGGGGGAGCAGAAAGUUUGCAUGUGAAUCAGAGAUAGACCAGAGAGUGCAGGUGACUGAGGGGGAGGGACCUUGCUGAAAUUGGAAUUCGGUUCCUAAGUCAGGUUUAUGAACCGUCCAGUUUUAGGUAUUUGAUUGGUGGUAACUCCUUGAAGCUUGUCUAUGCUUUUGGAUCUGCAUCCAGGGAUCUUAGUGGAUUAGCCAGGAUCUCUACUGCUGCUCUGAUAAACGUUUCCAGCGUUUAUUAAAUGUGCUCUCUGACGUUCUUUUGUGGAGACAGUAAUUUGACAGUCAUCACGUGAGAAACUCUGAAUUUGCCAUCUGGCCUGGCAGGACUUAGUUCUUCUCACCAUUAAUUAAACUGACGUUACUGCACGCUUUUAUGAUGGUGGUUAUGAUCUGUCCUGCGAUAACACCAGGGCUGGUUCUGAGGCAUGCACAGCACCUUCCACUCGCAUGACGUUUGUGGGUGGUGCAGCCGAGCACCUCUGGACUUCAGUGUCAGCUCUAAUAACUGAGUUUCAGGGCCCCACUCAGGCACCUUCCUCUGGAGCGGGUUCUUCUGGUUCUGAGGGGAUGGUUUCACAAGUAGGAAGACAUAGCUGGGGGGAAAAAGGGGGCAGCUGCUUGGCUGUAAUAGAGUUCUAUAACAUGCCCUGACAGGAGACCUUACUGACCACAGCUUCGCCCUGCUUGGUGAGACCGUGACCAUUAAUGGGAAAGUGGAUUGGCAGCAACAGAUAGAGCAGGGAGCAAAAAGAGAGGAAGGAAGUGAAAUAGGACAACAGCCGAAGACAGCUGCGAAAAGCAGGCAGGUACAUCAUGGUGGCGACUGGAGUGUGGAAGAAGGAAACUAAGCUUCUUUGGUGAUGAGGCAAGGUGUCUGUAUCCUAUCUGAAAUGGACACGUGUGGCGGUGCCCAGCAACUUAACAUGUUUGUAAUCCCCCUUCAGACCCAGCUCCAGGUGCUGGAUGGCAGAGUGUUUCCUGUCUUCGGUGGUCUCCAAACUGUGACUUGGCAAAUGAAACUGGUAGGUUUGAAAAGAAUGCCGGAGUACGAGGCUUGGGAGAAGUCAUUCCCAGAACUAACUCUUGCCAUUUUUCUCUUCCCUGUCAGAGCCUUGAAUGCUCAACUGCUCAGAGUUAACUCAGCAGCUUCAAGAGAUUCAAUAAUAUUUGUUUUUACCCAAAUCCCUCGAAGUCUGAGGGAAUGGAGACAGAAUCAUUUUACUGAGAUGAAAAGCCAAGAAAAGUAAAUCAUCCUUGGGUCAGGGUGAGCUCUCAUUUGAAGAGGCCACAGAUGGCAGAGAUGUUCAUGAAUCAGCAGUUUCACAGACCUCUGCCCAUUCAGGGAGUAAUGCGUGUAAACAAACAUGAAAAUGGCACAGAGCCGCAGAGCUUUCCAGAUCCUUCCUGUUCCCUCCAUGCAGUCGAGGGGGCCCUCCUCAGAAGAACCAGAUAGAAGAAAAGAGCUGCUGCCCUUGACUGUGGGCUUGUCCCAGGAUGGUCAUCCUAUACCUGCUUCAGCUGUGUGAGAGCCAAAGGCUAGAGUGACAGCGGGGUGUCCCCUCUUCUCCCAUAGUGCAGCCAGGUAUGCUCUUGAGGACAGGAGGCAGCUGCUGACUGGCCUGGUGGCAGGCGUUUGGAGUUAUCUGAGAUGGAGGGAAGGAAGGAGAGGUGAGGUGAGGACGUGAGCUAUUUCACCAUUGCACUGCUGCAGGUGCAGGACAGCUCCUGUACAUGUGGGCUUUGGGAGGUGGGCCUGCCCCUGGUGUGCUCCUGCUCUUUGAUAUGUGCCCUGGAUCCACGCGCCGACGAGGCUGGGACCUUGGAAGCCCCACAGAGCUCUAGCCUGUCUGGUGUUAGGGACAUUCUUCCCGCAAUUAUCUGAUGUUUGUCAAAUGUUGUGCCAGAAAAUGCAACUAGAGGGCUGUGCUGAGAGCCCCCACUUUGGUUGUAUUCUAGGGCCUGCUGGCCAAGAGAUGCAGUGCUACUUCCAUGCUGCCCAAGUGUCAGCCCGGGUAGUGCUUCUACAAGAAGAUAACAUGUAAGUGAUGAGAACUGGCCAAGUCAGUGACUGUGCCUGAAUCGUAGUUGAGACUUUGUCAUGGUUUGAACCAUGACAAGCUUUUUGUGAAUAGUCUGUUUGGGAUGAAACACAGCCUGAAUCUUCAAACAGUUAUGUGUGAUGACAGCUGUGAGACUUCUGUUGAAGUCGCUAGGCAUCACACAACCAUAAACUUCGGAGUGUGCUUCUGCUGAGGAGAUGCUGCUACUGAGGCUCUGAGACGAAGGGAAGUGAGAGGAAAAUGGACUCUGCCGUUCUCCCAGGAGCAGCACCUCACGACGCGCCAAACCUAGCAAUUGUAUGUGAGGAGCAAUCAGUGGGUGUCACAGGAGAUGUACAGGGACAUCUAAGGCAUUGGGAUUUAUUAUCAGUAAACCAUGUACUUCAAGUUCACUGUGAAGUUGGAGAACAUCUAACUGUGUAAAUGAUCUGAGGGAAUUGGAUGAAGUGAAUUUUGUGACUGUGAAGUUAGACAAUUAUCAGCCAUGUUUCCAGACAAUAGAGAAGAUCCUGACAAAGACAUUUCCUGAGAAGUAACUAACUCAUAUAGUAAUGAAUAGUCAAGAAAGCAGCUGUUUUUAAAAAACAUACAUCCACCAAAUGAUUACGGGUUGGUAUGCUUAAGGAGUGAAGAAAUGUGCAAAUUUUUUGGUGUUGCUCUUCUAAGGGUUUCUUGUGCUGGUGUCCAGACUCUGGCAACAUUAUCUUAACCUACUUUGACUGUCAGUGGUAGAAGGUAGUAGCUGGGGGUGGCCGAGUGCGCAGUGAGAACUGGCACUGCGCAGUGACAGAGCAGACGUGCUGGGGGUGGCUGUGAUCUGGGACCCAGCUGGGGGCAAGCGCCUGGAAGAGGAUGUUUCUGACUGGUGCUACCUAGAGAAAAAGCAGCCUGCUGAUGAGAUCACCUUAGGGCAUCAGGGUUUAGAAAGGGGUAGAAGAAUGUGGGACAGAAAUGAGCAGUACAGAGCAAUGACAUGCUUGAUGAGAAGCCAGCCUUACUGAGUGAGCACAGUCACAGAAUGAAAAGCUGCCCAUUGGGCAGAUACCAGUGAUCAUAGCAUAAGCAGGAAAAUGGCAUCAAUCUAGACACAGUGCUUUUUGUGACUCUUAAGGCAUUGAUGGAUGAAGACUCAGUGAAGAGAAGCUUCCUUUUUCUUAUGUUUUGACAUCUUUCAGGCUUAAACAUGAACUAACUACCAUUAUCCUAAUUUUACAGAUGGGGACAGACAGGUUAUGUGACAUGCUCCAGGUCACAUGAGCAGUGUGUGUCAGAGUGAGAAACAGCACCUGGAUCUCUCAAUUGUGAAGCUGUUGCUCUUGGCGCUGCGUCAUCCCGACUGCAAACAAAACACUGAGGUUGACUUUGCCUGUGUCCUUAUGCCUACAAAUGUGCCCACCUGCCAGCUUUAGAGCCAGCAGUCCACACCAUGUAGCCAAGGCAAGCCUGAUGCUUCUGCACAACAUCCAAAACUGUCAGUGUUGGGACCAGAGAGACUAAUAGGAAAAUUUAAGCUUUUUAAGUCUGCAGACACCCCAGCACAACAGCUCCUCUGGAAGGCGUGCUGUGGACCAUCCAUGAAGUCUGUACCACUCUAGUUUGUUUUAGACAGGAGACAAUGUUACAGGCUAUUUUAAAACCAAAGUAAGUGACAUCCACAACAUCCCUAACUUGUUUAUCCAGCACGUCAUUUCAAGCACAGAAGACAACCAUGUUGGCCAGAGAUAAUAUCACAAGGUGUGGUGCCCUGAUGGGAGCCUAGCAAGAAAGUAACACUCAUUCACCCACCCACCUUUGGCAGAUUGUCUGAGGGUCCCUCAUUGGCUUCGUGACGGAAAGUGGUUGAUUCACCUCCACCCAGCAGUAAUUAGGUGUUGCUGCCUAUGGAAGUUCCCAUGUUUGGCAUCGGACUGAUUAAAGCUGUUCUCCUUUGCCCUGUCUGUCAGACCGUCUAUAAUGCCAAUCCCCCUCCUGCUUGCGAGCUCCCUUCUGGAAAGACCAAGUGAGCUUUUUCUUAAGGUCUUCAUCGGAAAAGGAUUGCAUGGGUUGAAAACCAAAGCACACGCUGACUGCUGCUUUAGUCAGUGGGAGCACUCGUGAACAAGUUGGUUCCUUUCCCAGAGUUGUUCUUAAAGGACAUCCCACAGAAAUCUGCUCUCAGCCAGUGCCUGCAGAUGUAGCCCUCUCCCACUUGCAUGAAUGCUGUGCACUUACCUCUCCUGCACCCCGUUAAUGGAUCGAUUACUGGACUGAGCCCAGCUGUGUGAUGGUGCUGGCACACUCAGCAGGAAGCAGCAGUUCUUGCUUUGAGCAUCAGCCAUCACAGAGGACCUGAGCAAUGAACUGAGUGUGUAGAUUUAUUUGCAGGGUGAGGGAUGAGUAAGGUAGGCGCCUUUGACACAUGGAUGGACUGGGAGAAGGGGCUUUGCUGGAUGCCUUAUGACUGCCCGCGGGAGACAGCUGGAAAAGGUCUUCUGUUUCCACCACAUGGUAAGAGCAUCACCUCAGGAGUGUCCCUGCUGCUGCCCACACCCAGCAAAGCCUUGGGCCCAGCCUGGCUCAGAGCUCUGCUCCCAAACUCACAGUGCAAGCAAUGUCACACAGACUGCAGUCCUCAGUGUGACAUCGGCACUGCUGGGCACCAUGGGUUAGGCAUGAGCUUUUUCACCCUGCCAAAGGUGCCUUUGGGGUCUUCAACCCCGGUGACAGCAGGUGAAGGCUGACAGCGCCUGCUGCUGUUCAGCUGGAGGGAGCUGAUGGUGCCAGGCUGCAGGGGCAGCUGGGUGACACCACGUAAAGAGCAGCAAGUUGCUGGCCAUCUCAGCAGAGGGGGGAGGGAGGCCAUGACCUGCUGCUCCCCAUUGCAGGCACAGCCUUGGUGGCAAAAUUUGGCUGCAGCAGAUGAGAGAUAAGCCCUGCGUGUAAUCACACCACACAGCCUCCAGGAGAGAAGCAAAGGCUGCAUUCUGCUGUAGGCAAAAUGGCACCCAGCCCCUACCUGCGCAGUUGUCAUUGCCAAGGAGACACCAGGUGAACUCAGGAAAAGUGAAACAUCGUGAGAAAAACUGGGGAAUGAACCAGAGAGACAGAAUCUUACAAUAACACCAAUGUAAACACAGGCCUAGUUUUUAUCUUGUGCAGAGAGAUUGUUUUUGAGAACAAAUGCAGAGUGAAAUGAAUUCAUAGACCUCUGUACCAGGUGCAAUCAUUAGUCAGUAAAUGAAUUACACGUAAUUAUCUGCUUUGUAUUUAAUUCACUUGGCUUCCAGUUUCUUACUCUUCGUACAGUGAAACUCUCUAUCUCUCUCACACAAACACACUCUCCAUGGGCAAGGAGGUUUUGGAGGGCUGCCAUCAUCCUGACUCAUGAAUCAGACUCCAUGAUUUGAAUGAUAUUUAUCUAAGCCUGCAAACAAAGAAGAUGGCUAUGUGUCCAAUGAGAGAAUAAUUAUUGUUAUUAUGUUUAUAGAGCAACAAAGUUGGGAGUUAGGACCCCGGGGGAAAGGUGGCAGGAAGGGCGAGCUGGGCAGAGGCAGGAGGCUGUAGGCAGUGUUUCAGUGCAGGGAUGUGCCAGGGCCUCAGCAGGGCUCCCCGCUUCUGAGUCACCUCUGCCAGGCAUCGCUCAGCGGCCACGGCAGGCAGUGAGGUGAUGGCUGCUUCCGUGGGAUGCUGCCAGGGCUUUGGCAGCGGCUGAAAACUUGGGGUUGGCUCAGAGCAUCCUGCACAGGUCCAUCACCAAGGGGACAGAGGACACGGAUAUGCCUGUGUGGCACAUCUAGGAAGGGAAAGAAACCUAUAACAGGGAAAAGUGUCCUUUGCAGCUAGCGCAGCUGCUGCCACAGCAGGUUGCUGAGACGCAAAAAUGUCCCUUGGCAUGGCAGCGGGCUCACCUUGCUUUGUGACUUCAGUGCGAGCGUGGGCACAGGAGGACUGCUCAUUGCAUGGGAGAGCUCUGGGUGCUGUGACAGUGCCAUGUGUGAGCGAGGUCAGUGCUCUGUGCAUCUGUGGCAGUGCUGGAGGAGACUGCCUGUUGGGGCCAUCUGUGGCAGGCAGUAAGCUUGGGAGAAAGGUAACUUGAAUCCCAUAUUUCUAAAAUGCCACUAAAGCUUCAUCAUGCCCUGUGACACCCGCUGAGGUUACAGGGACCCACCCCUGCCAGGAAGGGCAUCUGAUGUGUGUGUGCCUGCACAAAGCUCACUCCUCUCUGUUGGCCCAUGGAGCAGGCCUGGUCCCACCUGUGUUCACAGCUGAUCACAGGUGAUGGUGACGGGGCUCUCCUUCAGCUUGGCACCACCAAGCAGCCCCUGCCCAGCACAGCCAUGGCUCUUUCUGCAGAGCCCAGAGAUGAAUACCAGACUGGAAGUGCCUUGGUUUGUGAUUAAGUGCCAGCCAUCAUAAAGGCAAGUAGCCCUUCUGUUGAGAGAAUCAGAAAUCAAAGUACUGUUUACCUCUGUUAACACAGCUUUAGAUGGUAAAGGUGGAGGCACCUUGCAGCCAUCUCUAAUCCCCUUUAAGUUACAAUACAAAGUCAGGGAGACAGCAGCACAGACAGCCAGGUGAGAACACCCAGCAAGGCAGCAAAUGUAGAACAAAUCCUACAUGGGGAACGGGCCAUCCUGCUCUUGUUCUGCAAGUAUUGGUGUUGAAAGCUUCCAAAUUUCGCCCCGGUUAUUGAGAAGGGGAUGAAACCAGUAACUACUUGAUAAUCAGUGCUGCAAAAAAUGCCACUAAAAAUGGAAACUAACUCAAUGCUACUCUGAUCAAACCACUUGUGGAAACCAUCUUGCUGGAUGUUUUAACUGAUAAAUAAAUUCAUGUUAAUAUCCCAGGAAGAAACACGGAAAGGCUUUGACCAAUGAAGUACUGCCAGUGCAAUGGUAUGAAACGAUCCUCUGGAUCACAGAGCAUUCCUUGGGGGACAUGUCUUGCAAGCGCUGGCUUUUUUAAACUGCAGUAAAUCUUCCUUACUUAAUUCCCUUUUCAGAAUAACUUAAAUUUUCUGGAGUAGGUUGAUAGAAAAUAUCUGUGUGGUAACAUUAACAGCCCAGAGGGAAAAAAAAAGUUUUUAUAGGAGAGCAAUCAAAAUAUUGCUGAGACAGGACUGGCCACGAGAGGAGAAACAGUGGUUUCUGGACUUUUGGUAAAGCCCAGGAGUCCUGCACCAGGACUUCCUCCAUCUCACAGAACUGCUGCAUGGCCCUGGGAACGGCUCCCAAAAUAUGUUUGUUUAUCAGUUGGCCUAGUACAAAUAUUACUGCUCCCCACACAUUUUGUCUACAAAGCAUCUGAAUGCCCUUGAGUGGAGGAGGUGAAGGAGGAGGAGAAAUAGUCCAGCACUGGUCUCCGUAAAUAACACUGCAUAGGCAGCAGUUCCUGCAUCUCUCACCCUCUCUCACUGAUGCACAAAGGCUUUAUAUUAUUGCUAGGAGGAAAACAUCAGGCAAUACCCAGCCUGAGAUGGCAAGCAGUCCCGCUGCUUAUGGUCUCAGAGAAAUAAUGCCAUGAUACACGAGAACAACAACGCCACAAAUCCUUCUUUCUGAGCAGGUUGACAGAAAGCAGCAGUGUGAGGCCAUAGCUGCUGCUUCGUCACAGACACCACAUCCAGCACACCUGCUCCUGCACACCUUGGGGCUGUUGCUGGACAUAGUACGCCUUCAACUUUUCUUAACAUUGCAACACAGAUGGCAGCUGGCUUUGUACAUCCGAACACAGUCGUACUGUCGUGCACCACAAGACCACAGAGCAGCCAUGUUCCUCUGUCAAACCCAAGGAGGUUUCUGAAAAACAUCACUCUGCAGAUGGCAGAGUGCAGCCGUGGGGCCAGCAGUGGCCUAAACAUUGCACAGUGUGGGCAAAGCAAGUUCAGGGCUGCCUACAGCUGCCUGCAGAGACGGGCUUUUUCAGCACGCUAUAUGCACUGACCAUCAGGUCCCUUCUCAGUGUGAGUACUGUCUAUUAGGGAUCGCUAAGGAAAUAGAAAUUUCAAAUUCCUAGAGGAAUUUUUCCCAAUUCACAAGCUGUUCAAUGUUAACAAAGUUACACAUUGGAGUCAGUGACAAAAGAGCACAGGUUCAGCAGCAGAGAUGUGAGAUAAGCCCUACAGCUGCUGGACUUGUUGAGUUACUCCAGUGAAGCCAGACAAGUAAUUUACAGAGUAUUUUAAUAGUCUGUACUUGUGGGGAUUGUACUAAUUUUUCACGAAGAUACUGAAGUAAUUUACAAUAGCAAUAUUGUUUACCAGCCCAGGGAAGGUUGCAUCACAGAGCCAUGUGUGCUUUGGAUGGCUUAGAAGGGGAUGGAGCGAAGGAGUGGAAAGAACCACAUCCUUCUCUUGAUCACAAAUCACUCAUGUUUGUACCUGAAAGACCAUAAAUGUGUCUGUUUGCAGUGUCCUGGCACACAGCCUGGGAACUUCCAUUAAAAGAUGUAGCUUCACCGCACUUCAGCUCCCAGCGCCAGACAUGGCAUCUUCAGCGUGCAGAGAAAAGCUUUGACAUUGUGACUGUGGCAAAAAAAAAAAAAGCCUGAUUAAUCUGGCAGUAGAGUUCACCAUUGCUUUCCCAUAGGGCUGCCGGGGUAUUUCUCCUCUGACCUUGCAGCACACCCUGGCUCCCAGCUGUUACAUUAUUCCAUUUUGUCCUGUUGCACCAGCCUCGCUUUAGGACAAAUACAUGAAUUUGUGUUUUGGUGAUGUGAGGCAAUCUAACACUGACCUUGUGUGGUGCUUCACACAGACGUAACGCAUCCUCUGAAGCCAGGGGGAGCAUGACUUAACAGCUAAUGGCAGGGCAGGUCAUGUCCUCCACGUCCCGGGCACAGGAGGCACCUGUUUGCUCACAGCCCGACCUUCGCAACCUCCUGUCUGCAGUGAAGGAGUCAGGACCUGGGCUCCCACUGCAGUGGGACCAGGCUCUCUGAGGUCGUACAAUCCCCCAGCACCGCUCAUGGGCACAGCUGUGAAAUCGAAGCUUUUCUGAAGAACCCAACUCCUGCUCGUGCUUUCUGCUAUCCCGUGCCAAAGGAAUGCCAACUAAGCCCAUUUACAAUUGUUUUGCUUGACAUAUGGGUCCCAGAUACGGAGAAAUUGCCAAAAGAAGUUCCUUUCUGUUGGGUGUGGGUAUACGCUGUUGAGCUUGGCUCUACAGGAGGGAAAGGACAAAAGGACAACCAAAGAGAAGAGAAAAGCUGGGCUGGGAGGGAGAGGCAGAGGAAGAUUUUGCGUGCGCCUGGGAAGGAAACAAUGGGACAAGGGGAAGGAAUUAAAAGAACCACAUCCUUCUCUGCAUCACACCCCUGCAGUUUGAGUUACUCAUGCUGGACCAACCCAUAGUGCCUAACAUCGCUCCCCUGUGAAUGCUGCGGUAAGCUCUGUCCUGUCAGAUGUGCCCAUGUACCAUGAGGGGAGCAGCACUCAUGGCACAGCAGAUCAAGCCUCUCUCCUUCACAAUGACAGUCUGACAUGAGUUCAUUCUCAUUAGCCCAUCCCAAAUGCGUGCACCUAAUCCAGCCCCACAAUCUGGAACAUAAGCCAAAGCAUGUUCCUCCCUCCCCUCCACCUCCGACCCCAUGGCCAAGCCAAGCCUGACCCCACAGACAAGCUCCUCAAAGCUCUCAGCAGAUCUUCCAGCUGGGAUGUCCUUCUCACCCACUCCACUGCCCUGCAGCUCCUCUUAGGGAAGAGGUACACAAGGGAGGGACAAAGAGAAAGUGGUAUUUUCUUGUACCCUCUUAUUGCUCUCUCAGCCCUGCCUGCUCCUCAAAGCUCAACACUCUGCUCAUGAACUGCACAUCUAAUUAGUGACGAUCUCGGUGUUUUUUCAUCAUUCCUAUAUUCCAUAAUACAGUCAUACUAUUUGCAACUUAAAUGCAACUACAAUUGCUGCUUAAGUACAGUUAUCACUUACAGAAGCAGUGCAAAGUAAAGGGGGUAAUGUCAAACCUGCCUCCCAGAUGGACCCAUCAAUAUAGAGAGAACAACAAGGAUUAUCAGCAGCACCAUCAGCAUUUGAAUGUCCAGUAUCAAGUCUUUUGUUCUGAACAACCCAGAAAUAGGCCUCAAUUUGCCAUUUCCUUCAAUUAAAGGAUAUCUGAAAGUGAAAGGCUCCAGCCCUCUUCUCAUUUCUGUGUCCCCCCUUUGGACCUGCUCUAACAGCUGUGUCUCCUGAGGCACAUAAUUCAUCACAGAUCUCCUGGACACUGAGCCACUGACCACAGCUCCCCGGAUGUGGCCAUCCAGUCAAUUCCUUUUCCAAGAAACAGUCCAUUCAAACCCCUGUCUCCAAUACAGAGACAAGGACAUUAUGGGGCCGUGUCUAAAGCCUUACAGAAGUUCCUGAAGACGACAUGAAUUGCUGCUCCCCUUUUUGGAGAGAGAACUGUACAUGCUUCCAACUCCAGCUAUUCUAUGAUUCUCUGCCCAAUUUUCCUACCUCCAGAGACUGCAGAGGAGUUUUAUUCCUCACUCAUGGCACGCACAAAAGCCAUGGAUUGAUAUUUUAGGAUAAGCCUAAGCCAAGCUGAAGCCACCAUUCUCUCAGCUCUCAAAGUCCUACGGCUCCGAGAUCACACCUUAAUAAAUAGCACUGCUACUUCAAGAGCUUUUGUUGCUGAAAACAGGACCAGUAGAAGGGGACAGGUUACACACUUGGAAGCAUGCAGAGUCCUUCAGGAUUUAUUUGUUCACUCCAGAGAGAAAGUGAGUCAUGAGAAACCUUAAGGUGGAGCGCUCAAAACAAGGAGUGUAUAAAUGAUUAGCAAGGGAAGGUCAGCACCAGUCCUUCAAGUCUGAGCAUGUCCCACUGUCGAAGGUGCAUAAAUAAUAGCAGCUGGAUGCUUGUGGCUGUAGGAGAACGGCUAUCGCACUUCCAGUCCCUUGCACGACUCUGGCUCUUAUAAUCUGUGAAGCUGAUCUCAGUUUUCUUAUAAAAAUAAAGUGGCUGAUAAAUGGAAUUCAAUCAACAGAUCUAGUUUCAAGACAAAACUGCAUGCUUGACAAAAGCCAAGAUUAAAAAAUUCUAAAAAAGUUUUUACUAUGUGGAGAUUCAAACACAGUGACAGGAGAUGGACCUGAGUUCCCCUUGCUCUCAUGCAGCAAUACAAUUAAUCAUCUUGACAGAUAAAAUCCGAUUGCAAAACCUGCAUUAGCACAUUAAUGCAAAUGAAUGAAAAAACAUUCUCCUUUCUUCAGACCACAGGCUGAAUUUAAAGCAUUUGCAGAGAAGAAAAUGAUCAGUCACCUCCAGUGAGCAUAAGUGGUGGUGAUUCACUCAGAGAUAUCUGACAAGGCCACUGGCAUCUUUUGUUUUUUCCUAAGACAAACUCUUACCUUACAGAAACGCUCUGUGGGAUACACACAAACACUGAAUAUGUUAUCUCUAGAUCCACUGAUACAAUGCGGCACUGUAUGACGCAGCACCUAACUACUGAGUGCAGCUGAAAGCUUGGAGGAGCUGGUACUUUCACCACUAACACCUGUACAUCACAAUGGGGGAAUCCUGGCCAGUUUUGUAUUUUAUUAUCCAACUGUGACAGAAUCUCUUAUGGAGAUUAUGAGCACCUUUUCCACUGAGCUUUUCUUCAGAUCCUCUCUAUGAAGUUGCUAACCAAGGAUUGAAGUUGGACAGGUGAGCUGCAGCAUAGGGACUGGCCAAGUCCUGAGUGGUGCAGAGCAACAGAAGCUUCUAUGGAGUAUAAAGGUAUAAAACCACAUACCUUAAUCUGGUCUUGUGCUAAAACACAGAGGUAACUUCACAGACAUCUGCAUCAGGUGCACAGCAUCAGGUGAAAAAGUAGUAUUUUUUACCUUAUUUCUAUGUAGAAAUUCAAGAGCACAACCCUACCAUAACCCAGCAGUUAGAAGCAAUGCCAAGAAAAGCUGUCUAUUUACAAACAGACAACAUGGUUACCAGCCUGUCCUUCCUCAUGGAACUUAUCUUGUUCAUUUUGCUUUCACCCGUAUUCUAAGACCCUUUGACCCUACAUGCAGGUAGAUACUUGGCUGAAAGUAAAGGAUGUGACAAAGAGAAAAGAGACUGCAGAGAUGUAACCGAACCCAGCAGCCUGUGGGGAUCAAGGAGGGCCCCGCACUGUGGGAUGGAGACACCAGCUCGAACAGGGUAGAAAUGAACAUGGACGUGUUUGUACUGCAUGAAGCCAUGUACAAAACCUGAAUGCUGACCAGUGUCUCCUCAGCCCUCCUUUGCCCCCAGGCAGAGGAUGGCAGGACAGGGGACACUCCUGCUUUUCAACUCCUGAAACAGAGGACGAGAAGGAUGUAGUUCCCAUGUGUUCAGUAUCUCUGGGCCUGAGUCAAAACCACAGCUGUCCAUCUAGCUUUCCCACUGACUUCUGUGGGGCUGGG
Tympanuchus pallidicinctus (lesser prairie-chicken) is the source of this 17011-nucleotide long non-coding RNA. RefSeq lists it as uncharacterized. NCBI's taxonomy places the organism in Eukaryota, Metazoa, Chordata, Aves, Galliformes, Phasianidae. The record is from RefSeq and is a predicted model, not a curated record. The transcript has 8 exons.